GCCCGGCUGGCUCAGUAAGAAAAGCACGUGACUCCCAAUCUCAGGAUAGUGGGUUUGAGCCCCACGUUGGGUG
Molecule: transfer RNA, 73 nt
Filed under: Ailuropoda melanoleuca (giant panda)
Lineage: Eukaryota; Metazoa; Chordata; Mammalia; Carnivora; Ursidae
Rfam family: tRNA
About the family: Transfer RNA (tRNA) molecules are approximately 80 nucleotides in length.
Source: Rfam by way of RNAcentral